GGGGAUUUAGCUCAGUGGUAGAGCGCUUGCCUAGCAAGCGCAAGGCUCUGGAUUCAGUCCCCA
RNAcentral lists this transfer RNA (63 nucleotides) under Rattus norvegicus (Norway rat). It matches the Rfam family "tRNA". From Rfam's summary of the family: Transfer RNA (tRNA) molecules are approximately 80 nucleotides in length. Their secondary structure includes four short double-helical elements and three loops (D, anti-codon, and T loops). The record is from Rfam by way of RNAcentral. Lineage: Eukaryota; Metazoa; Chordata; Mammalia; Rodentia; Muridae.